UACGUAGGUGGCAAGCGUUGUCCGGAAUUAUUGGGCGUAAAGCGCGCGUAGGCGGUUUUCCAAGUCAGUGGUGAAAGCCCGGGGCUCAACCCCGGAAUAGCCUUUGAAACCGGAAAACUAGAAUCUUGGAGAGGUCAGUGGAAUUCCGAGUGUAGAGGUGAAAUUCGUAGAUAUGCGGAAGAACACCAGUGGCGAAGGCGACUGACUGGACAAGUAUUGACGCUGAGGUGCGAAAGCGUGGGGAGCAAACAGG
This 253-nucleotide ribosomal RNA is filed under the name uncultured bacterium. RNAcentral describes it as "partial 16S ribosomal RNA". It matches the Rfam family "Bacterial small subunit ribosomal RNA", at positions 524 to 776 of the family's 1533-position model. The record is from RNAcentral.